UGGGAAGGGCGGUGGCCUCUGGGCUGGAUGCUGGCAAGAGGGAUCUGUGACCCAGAUGAUGAUGUCUGGUGGGAAUUGCUUUAUAGCUAAGUCAGCAAUCCUCAUGUCUUAGGCCUGGCAGGGCCAGCCUAGGCCAUUGAGUCCAGCUCCCCUUCCAGGGACAUGGCCACGCGAGUCUGCACACACACCUCCCCAGUGUAGUCACGGCCCCAGAGCUGCUCAGGCAGGGCCGUGCUGCCUAGGGAUGACUCCCCUAAACAGGGCUCACCAUCUUUCCUGGGUUCUGAUGGCUGUUGUGAGGCAGCUCAGUAAGGGACAGGGCGCAGGGCAGGGAGGGAAGGGGAAGGCUGAAUUCAGGGCUUCAGCUCACAAGAAACCACAGAAAUGGAUCCUUAGUAUCCAGGCUAAGGACACAGAACGGGGGCAGGACGGGUGGGGCGGGCCGCUGUGUCCUGGAGCCUUUGCUGGAGAGAACAGAGGGCAGGUCACACUGGACUUGUUGUCUCAGGAUGGAGCCUUCAGGGAGAAAACAUGGCACCUUGCUCCAGUAGCCACGAUACCAGGAGUGGAGGAGGGUGUCCCCGGGAUACGGGUCUUCCUCCUUGCUCUCUACCCUCUGCCCCCAGGAUCAGUGAAGUGGAGCCCAAAUACUAUGCAGAUGGGGAGGAUGCCUAUGCCAUGAAGCGGGACCUCACUCAGAUGGCCGACGAGCUGAGGCGGCACCUGGAGCUGAAAGAGAAGGGCAGGCACGUGGUGCUGGGUGCCAUCGAGAACAAGGUGGAGAGCAAAGGCAAUUCACCUCCGAGCUCAGGAGAGGCCUGUCGCGAGGAGAAGGGCCUGGCUGCCGAGGAUAGUGGUGGGGACAGCAAGGACCUCAGCGAGGUCAGCGAGACCACAGAGAGCACAGAUGUCAAGGACAGCUCAGAGGCCUCCGACUCAGCCUCCUAGAGCCUGCCCCAUCCCCUCCUCACCCCACGAGCUUUCACAAUAAAUUCGCUCCGUGGCACUGGGGAACUUCGUGUGUGAGCGUGCGCACAUUUAGAGGGUGUGUUUCUCCAGGUCCUCUGGUGGGGAUGUGAGCCUUGGCCUUUUGACCCAGAGCAUCCUG
Molecule: small RNA, 1108 nt
Filed under: Pan troglodytes (chimpanzee)
Lineage: Eukaryota; Metazoa; Chordata; Mammalia; Primates; Hominidae
Description: retained intron
Source: RNAcentral